This 993-nucleotide unclassified non-coding RNA is filed under the name Hevea brasiliensis (rubber tree). The record is from RNAcentral. Lineage: Eukaryota; Viridiplantae; Streptophyta; Magnoliopsida; Malpighiales; Euphorbiaceae.
ACAAUAUAAAGAGGGUGGACGAGAAGCAUCAGUGUAAAGACUUUAUUGGCCCUCCAACUGUACGGAUGGAACAAAACUAGGGUUAGAGAGAGGGGAAGGCAGAGAUGGUUAGGACCCACAGAGGCACCCCUUCCAAGCUGUCUCGCUUUGUUUGAGAAGCCUGGAAGACAAAAGGGUCCAACUUUUUUCUUCUUUUCACUCUCCUGCUCUUCAGUGCAAAUCAUGACUUCCCCUUCUCAUUGUUUCCCAUCACCCUCUUCUCUCACCUCUCUUCAUCAUCGUCAUUAUCAGCAUCAGCUAUUAGUAUUACAGCAAUAACAUCAAUGGAUAAAACCACCCAAUUACUGUUAAUACAGUUAUUGCUAUUUUAGCAUAAUCACUGCUCUUAGAUUCUCUUUCUUGACCAACCUUUUUCCCAUACUAACCCAAGCCCACCUCCUGCUCUUUCCUUCUAUGUGCCAUCCAAUUCCAUCACCGACCUUGCUCCUCUCUUGGCCCAUCCCACCUCAAUUCUAGGGUUUUUCUUUUCUUUUCUUUUUUCCGCCCUUCCCUUUCUUUUCUUUGCUUUUAAUUCUGAUUUGUUUGCCCUCUCGAGUACCCAUCACCCUGCUUUCCGAUCUUUUCUUUCUCUGCCUAAAUUAGCAUACUUUGUGUUGUGAUCCUCUUAAAUUCUAUGGAUUCUCGGUAUAUUUCUUCCAAUUCUAGGGUUUUUCUAGGGUUUUUCUUUUAAGAUGCGGCUUAUUGUCUAUUGGGUCGACUUUAGUAUCACUUAAUCCUCCUCCAAUUUGAUCACUGCCUUCUUUUUAUACUGGAAUCUUCCUUCUUUUUUUACCUCAAUUCCAAUUUCGGAUUUGAACUAGGUUCUCUUGCCUUUUCUUUUCUUUUCUUCUUUAGGAAUUUUCGAUUUCGCUUUCAUUUCAAUUCAUGGCUUAUCAACCGAUUCCGGGUCCUAGCUCGGGAUCGAGUUCGAGUUCAGGGUUUCAAUAUUUGAAU